This 23-nucleotide transfer RNA is filed under the name Thunbergia laurifolia. Its description in RNAcentral is "partial tRNA-Leu". Lineage: Eukaryota; Viridiplantae; Streptophyta; Magnoliopsida; Lamiales; Acanthaceae. The record is from RNAcentral.
UGGUUCAAGCUCCUCUAUCCCCA